GGGGAGUACGGCCGCAAGGUUAAAACUCAAAUGAAUUGACGGGGGCCCGCACAAGCGGUGGAGCAUGUGGUUUAAUUCGAUGCAACGCGAAGAACCUUACCUACUCUUGACAUCCAGAGAACUUUCCAGAGAUGGAUUGGUGCCUUCGGGAACUCUGAGACAGGUGCUGCAUGGCUGUCGUCAGCUCGUGUUGUGAAAUGUUGGGUUAAGUCCCGCAACGAGCGCAACCCUUAUCCUUUGUUGCCAGCGGUUCGGCCGGGAACUCAAAGGAGACUGCCAGUGAUAAACUGGAGGAAGGUGGGGAUGACGUCAAGUCAUCAUGGCCCUUACGAGUAGGGCUACACACGUGCUACAAUGGCGUAUACAAAGAGAAGCGACCUCGCGAGAGCAAGCGGACCUCAUAAAGUGCGUCGUAGUCCGGAUUGGAGUCUGCAACUCGACUCCAUGAAGUCGGAAUCGCUAGUAAUCGUAGAUCAGAAUGCUACGGUGAAUACGUUCCCGGGCCUUGUACACACCGCCCGUCACACCAUGGGAGUGGGUUGCAAAAGAAGUAGGUAGCUUAACCUUCGGGAGGGCGCUUACCACUUUGUGAUUCAUGACUGGGGUGAAGUCGUAACAAGGUAACCGUAGGGGAACCUGCGGUUG
Molecule: ribosomal RNA, 645 nt
Filed under: Oryza sativa Indica Group (long-grained rice)
Lineage: Eukaryota; Viridiplantae; Streptophyta; Magnoliopsida; Poales; Poaceae
Description: rRNA SSU_rRNA_eukarya
Rfam family: Bacterial small subunit ribosomal RNA
Source: RNAcentral